This 265-nucleotide long non-coding RNA is filed under the name Gallus gallus (chicken). Lineage: Eukaryota; Metazoa; Chordata; Aves; Galliformes; Phasianidae. The record is from RNAcentral.
CAGAGACAUUCAGAGAGGUCACAGUCCUUUCUAGCUCAUUUUCUGCAAUGCAUGUUAAUGUUACGUUUUCCUCAGGAGCAAUUAUAAUUUUACUGGAAAAUUUUCCAUUAACAUAUUUGGUCUCCUUUGCCUUAUUUAUGAGGCUUCCACUACCAGUAACUGUCCAUUGCACUGCUGGUUUGGGAAAUCCUUCCACAUGACAGACAAUUGUUUUAGACAUUUUAUUUGUGUUGGUUUUCUUUGUCAUUUUGAUUUGAGGUUUUCC